GGCUUAGAAGCAGCCAUCAUUUAAAGAAAGCGUAAUAGCUCACUGAUCGAGUCGUCCUGCGCGGAAGAUGUAACGGGGCUAAGCCAGUUACCGAAGCUGCGGAUUUGCAAUUUAUUGCAAGUGGUAGGAGAGCGUUCUGUACGCCUGUGAAGGUGGCUUGUGAAGGCUGCUGGAGGUAUCAGAAGUGCGAAUGCUGACAUGAGUAGCGUUAAAGCGGGUGAAAAGCCCGCUCGCCGUAAGCGCAAGGUUUUCUACGCAACGUUCAUCGGCGUAGAGUAAGUCGGCCCCUAAGGUGAGGCAGAGAUGCGUAACUGAUGGGAAACAGGUUAAUAUUCCUGUACCGAUGUAUAGUGCGAUGUGGGGACGGAGAAGGUUAACUCAGCCAACUGUUGGAUAUGUUGGUUCAAGCCUGUAGUCGUGCCUGGUAGGUAAAUCCGCCGGGCUUAGAUGAGGGGUGAUAACGAGACAGCUUGCUGUCGAAGUGAGUGAUACCCUGCUUCCAGGAAAAGCCACUAAGCUUCAGCUAUACACGACCGUACCGCAAACCGACACUGGUGCGCGAGAUGAGUAUUCUAAGGCGCUUGAGAGAACUCAGGAGAAGGAACUCGGCAAAUUGACACCGUAACUUCGGGAGAAGGUGUGCCCCAAGUCAGUGAACUCGUACAGAGGGAGCUAAACGGGGCUGCAAAAAAUCGGUGGCUGCGACUGUUUAUCAAAAACACAGCACUCUGCAAACACGAAAGUGGACGUAUAGGGUGUGACGCCUGCCCGGUGCUGGAAGAUUAAAUGAUGGGGUGCAAGCUCUUGAUUGAAGUCCCAGUAAACGGCGGCCGUAACAAUAACGGUCCUAAGGUAGCGAAAUUCCUUGUCGGGUAAGUUCCGACCUGCACGAAUGGCGUAACGAUGGCCACACUGUCUCCUCCUGAGACUCAGCGAAGUUGAAAUGUUUGUGAUGAUGCAAUCUCCCCGCGGAAAGACGGAAAGACCCCAUGAACCUUUACUGUAGCUUUGUAUUGGACUUUGAACAGAUCUGUGUAGGAUAGGUGGGAGGCUUUGAAGUGAGGAUGCUAGUUCUCAUGGAGCCAACGUUGAAAUACCACCCUGGUGUGUUUGAGGUUCUAACCUUGGCCCGUUAUCCGGGUUAGGGACAGUGUAUGGUGGGCAGUUUGACUGGGGCGGUCUCCUCCCAAAGUGUAACGGAGGAGUUCGAAGGUACGCUAGUUACGGUCGGACAUCGUGACGAUAGUGCAAUGGCAUAAGCGUGCUUAACUGCGAGACUGACAAGUCGAGCAGAUACGAAAGUAGGACAUAGUGAUCCGGUGGUUCUGUAUGGAAGGGCCAUCGCUCAACGGAUAAAAGGUACUCUGGGGAUAACAGGCUGAUACCGCCCAAGAGUUCAUAUCGACGGCGGUGUUUGGCACCUCGAUGUCGGCUCAUCUCAUCCUGGGGCUGUAGCCGGUCCCAAGGGUAUGGCUGUUCGCCAUUUAAAGAGGUACGUGAGCUGGGUUUAAAACGUCGUGAGACAGUUUGGUCCCUAUCUUCCGUGGGCGCUGCAGAUUUGAGGAAGCCUGCUCCUAGUACGAGAGGACCGGAGUGGACGCACCUCUGGUGUAUCGGUUGUCACGCCAGUGGCAUUGCCGAGUAGCUAUGUGCGGAAGAGAUAACCGCUGAAAGCAUCUAAGCGGGAAACUCGUUUCAAGAUAAGAUCUGCCGGGGCCUUGAGCCCCCUAAAGAGUCGUUCAAGACCAGGACGUUGAUAGGUCAGGUGUGGAAGCGCAGUAAUGCGUUAAGCUAACUGAUACUA
RNAcentral lists this ribosomal RNA (1804 nucleotides) under Proasellus spelaeus. RNAcentral describes it as "bacterial LSU rRNA". It matches the Rfam family "Bacterial large subunit ribosomal RNA", at positions 1103 to 2903 of the family's 2925-position model. The record is from RNAcentral. Lineage: Eukaryota; Metazoa; Arthropoda; Malacostraca; Isopoda; Asellidae.